RNAcentral lists this ribosomal RNA (308 nucleotides) under uncultured microorganism. Its description in RNAcentral is "bacterial SSU rRNA". It matches the Rfam family "Bacterial small subunit ribosomal RNA", at positions 346 to 671 of the family's 1533-position model. The record is from RNAcentral.
GUGCAGCAGUCGCGAAUCCUUCGCAAUGUGCGAAGCAUGACGAGGCGACGCCGCGUGGAAGAUGAAGCCCUGCGGGUGUAAUUCCUUUAUAGGGGAAGAACUUUGUGACUGUACCCUAUGAAUAAGGAGCUACUAAUCACGUGCCAGCAGUAGCGGUAAUACGUGAGCUCCGGAGCGUUUAUCCGGAUUUACUGGGCGUAAAGCGUUCGUAGGCGCUCUGUUAAGUUUCUGUUAAAUCUCUAAGGGCCCAACCUUAGAGCUGCAGAAAACUGGCAGGGUAGAGGAUGUCAGGGGCUGAUGGAACUCUC